RNAcentral lists this ribosomal RNA (900 nucleotides) under Laccaria gomezii. Its description in RNAcentral is "eukaryotic LSU rRNA". It matches the Rfam family "Eukaryotic large subunit ribosomal RNA", at positions 72 to 956 of the family's 3401-position model. The record is from RNAcentral. Lineage: Eukaryota; Fungi; Basidiomycota; Agaricomycetes; Agaricales; Hydnangiaceae.
GGAUUCCCCUAGUAACUGCGAGUGAAGCGGGAAAAGCUCAAAUUUAAAAUCUGGCAGUCUUUGGCUGUCCGAGUUGUAAUCUAGAGAAGUAUUAUCCGCGCUGGACCGUGUACAAGUCUCCUGGAAUGGAGCGUCAUAGAGGGUGAGAAUCCCGUCUUUGACACGGACUGCCAGGGCUUUGUGAUAUGCUCUCAAAGAGUCGAGUUGUUUGGGAAUGCAGCUCAAAAUGGGUGGUAAAUUCCAUCUAAAGCUAAAUAUUGGCGAGAGACCGAUAGCGAACAAGUACCGUGAGGGAAAGAUGAAAAGAACUUUGGAAAGAGAGUUAAACAGUACGUGAAAUUGCUGAAAGGGAAACGCUUGAAGUCAGUCGCGUUGGCCAGGGAUCAACCUUGCUUUUUUGCUUGGCUUACUUUCUGGUUGAUGGGUCAGCAUCAAUUUUGACUGGUGGAAAAAGUUCAAGGGAAUGUGGCAUCUUCGGAUGUGUUAUAGCCUUUGUUCACAUACAUUGGUUGGGAUUGAGGAACUCAGCACGCCGCAAGGCCGGGUUUUUAACCACGUACGUGCUUAGGAUGCUGGCAUAAUGGCUUUAAUCGACCCGUCUUGAAACACGGACCAAGGAGUCUAACAUGCCUGCGAGUAUUUGGGUGAAAAACCCAAGUGCGUAAUGAAAGUGAAAGUUGAGAUCCCUGUCGUGGGGAGCAUUGACGCCCGGAUCUGACCUUUUGUGACGAUUCUGCGGUAGAGCAUGUAUGUUGGGACCCGAAAGAUGGUGAACUAUGCCUGAAUAGGGUGAAGCCAGAGGAAACUCUGGUGGAGGCUCGUAGCGAUUCUGACGUGCAAAUCGAUCGUCAAAUUUGGGUAUAGGGGCGAAAGACUAAUCGAACCAUCUAGUAGCUGGUC